AGUGAACGCUGGCGGUAGGCCUAACACAUGCAAGUCGAACGGCAGCACAGUAAGAGCUUGCUCUUACGGGUGGCGAGUGGCGGACGGGUGAGGAAUACAUCGGAAUCUACUUUUUCGUGGGGGAUAACGUAGGGAAACUUACGCUAAUACCGCAUACGACCUACGGGUGAAAGCAGGGGAUCUUCGGACCUUGCGCAAUUGAAUGAGCCGAUGUCGGAUUAGCUAGUUGGCGGGGUAAAGGCCCACCAAGGCGACGAUCCGUAGCUGGUCUGAGAGGAUGAUCAGCCACACUGGAACGGAGACACGGUCCAGACUCCUACGGGAGGCAGCAGUGGGGAAUAUUGGACAAUGGGCGCAAGCCUGAUCCAGCCAUACCGCGUGGGUGAAGAAGGCCUUCGGGUUGUAAAGCCCUUUUGUUGGGAAAGAAAAGCAGCAGGUUAAUACCCCGCUGUUCUGACGGUACCCAAAGAAUAAGCACCGGCUAACUUCGUG
Molecule: ribosomal RNA, 492 nt
Filed under: uncultured bacterium
Lineage: Bacteria
Description: partial 16S ribosomal RNA
Rfam family: Bacterial small subunit ribosomal RNA
Source: RNAcentral